UGGGGGAUAUUGCACAAUGGAGGAAACUCUGAUGCAGCGACGCCGCGUGAGUGAUGAAGAUCUUCGGAUUGUAAAACUCUGUCCUUAGUGAAGAUAAUGACAGUAACUAAGAAGCAAGCCCUGGCUAAAUACGUGCCAGCAGCCGCGGUAAUACGUAUGGGGCAAGCGUUGUCCGGAAUUAUUGGGCGUAAAGGGUACGUAGGCGGUUUAAUAAGUCCUAAUUAAAAGGCUAUGGCUCAACCAUAGUAUGGUUAGGAAACUGUUGAACUUGAGUAGAUGAGGGGAAAGUGGAAUUCCAUGUGUAGCGGUGAAAUGCGUAGAUAUAUGGAGGAACACCAAUGGCGAAGGCAACUUUCUGGAAUCAAACUGACGCUGAGGUACGAAGGCGUGGGGAGCAAACAGG
RNAcentral lists this ribosomal RNA (403 nucleotides) under Fusobacteriota bacterium. RNAcentral describes it as "Fusobacteria bacterium partial 16S ribosomal RNA". It matches the Rfam family "Bacterial small subunit ribosomal RNA", at positions 355 to 776 of the family's 1533-position model. The record is from RNAcentral. Lineage: Bacteria; Fusobacteriati; Fusobacteriota.